This 443-nucleotide ribosomal RNA is filed under the name uncultured bacterium. RNAcentral describes it as "bacterial SSU rRNA". It matches the Rfam family "Bacterial small subunit ribosomal RNA", at positions 91 to 518 of the family's 1533-position model. The record is from RNAcentral.
GAGAGCGGCGGACGGGUGAGUAACACGUGGACAACCUGCCCCCCGGUCGGGAUAGCCCAGGGAAACCUGGAUCAAUACCGGAUGCGAGGGCGGCCGCACAAGCGGCCGUCGGGAAAGGCGCUUCGGCGCCGCCGGGGGGAUGGGUCCGCGUCCCAUUAGGCUAGACGGUGGGGUAAACGGCCCACCGUGGCGAUGAUGGGUAGCCGGCCUGAGAGGGUGGACGGCCACAUUGGAACUGAGACACGGUCCAGACUCCUACGGGAGGCAGCAGCUAAGAAUCUUCCGCAAUGGGCGAAAGCCUGACGGAGCGACGCCCGCGUGAACGAAGAAGGCCGUGAGGUUGUAAAGUUCUUUUCGGGAGGGGGAACGAGGCUGCCAGGCAAUGGGCGGCCGAUGACGUGAAUCCCGGAAUAAGCCCCGGCUAACUACGUGCCAGCAGCGGC